Physeter macrocephalus (sperm whale) is the source of this 565-nucleotide long non-coding RNA. RefSeq lists it as uncharacterized. The record is from RefSeq and is a predicted model, not a curated record. Lineage: Eukaryota; Metazoa; Chordata; Mammalia; Artiodactyla; Physeteridae. The transcript is spliced from 3 exons.
UAUCCCUGGCAAGUGUGUCUGCCUUGCUUACCCCCAGAGAAAAAGAAAAUCAGAAACAGUGUUUGAGAAAUAUCUGAGGGAGUGCUCUGUCCUUGUGAACUACAGCGAUCUAGCGGAUCAGAACAGCCCAGAGAUGUGCACUCGUCUUACGUGGGUAUGCAAUGCGCAUACACUCAAGAAGGUUUUAAACAUAGAACACUUCCUCUCCACAGAGUUGCUCCCUGUGAAGGAAUCCUGCCACCGUCCCACAUUGGGAGGAACUGAGGCCUCCUUUCAACAACCAUCACCAUGUGGAUGAACCGUUUUGGAAGAGAAUCCGCCAGCCCCAGUGAAGUCUCCAGACGACGGCAGCCCUGAUCGCACCUUACCCGCAACCUCAUGAGAGAACCUGAGACAGAACCACCCAGCUAAGCCACUAUAGAACUUCUGACCCACAGACACUGGAUAAUAAGUGUUUUAAAACACUAAGUGUUGAAAUAAUUUGUUGCAAUUAAUCAUUACAGGAGUCUGGGUGUUUUAGUUUUGUAUCAUCAUUACUUUUGCUCUCCUUCUAUCUAUCCACCAA